GACGAACGCUGGCGGCGUGCUUAACACAUGCAAGUCGAACGCUGAAGCUCAGCUUUUGUUGGGUGGAUGAGUGGCGAACGGGUGAGUAACACGUGAGUAACCUGCCUCCUUCUUUGGGAUAACGCCCGGAAGCGGGUGCUAAUACUGGAUAUUCACUGGUCUUCGCAUGGGGGUUGGUGGAAAGGGUUUUUCUGGUGGGGGAUGGGCUCGCGGCCUAUCAGCUUGUUGGUGGGGUGAUGGCCUACCAAGGCUUUGACGGGUAGCCGGCCUGAGAGGGUGACCGGUCACAUUGGGACUGAGAUACGGCCCAGACUCCUACGGGAGGCAGCAGUGGGGAAUAUUGCACAAUGGGCGCAAGCCUGAUGCAGCGACGCCGCGUGAGGGAUGGAGGCCUUCGGGUUGUGAACCUCUUUCGCUCAUGGUCAAGCCGCAACAAUGGUUGUGGUGAGGGUAGUGGGUAAAGAAGCGCCGGCUAACUACGUG
This 483-nucleotide ribosomal RNA is filed under the name uncultured bacterium. RNAcentral describes it as "partial 16S ribosomal RNA". It matches the Rfam family "Bacterial small subunit ribosomal RNA", at positions 28 to 507 of the family's 1533-position model. The record is from RNAcentral.